Molecule: ribosomal RNA, 492 nt
Filed under: uncultured bacterium
Lineage: Bacteria
Description: partial 16S ribosomal RNA
Rfam family: Bacterial small subunit ribosomal RNA
Source: RNAcentral
AGUGAACGCUGGCGGCAUGCCUAACACAUGCAAGUCGAACGGCAGCACAGUAAGUGCUUGCUCUUAGGGGUGGCGAGUGGCGGACGGUGGAGGAAUACAUCGGAUUCUACUUUUUAGUGGGGGAUAACAUCGGGAAACUUACGCUAAUACCGCAUACGACGUACGGGUGAAAGCAGGGGAUCUUCGGACCUUGCGCGAGUGAAUGAGCCGAUGUCGGAUUAGCUAGUUGGCGGGGUAAAGGCCCACCAAGGCGACGAUCCGUAGCGGGUCUGAGAGGAUGAUCAGCCACACUGGAACUGAGACACGGUCCAGACUCCUACGGGAGGCAGCAGUGGGGAAUAUUGGACAAUGGGCGCAAGCCUGAUCCAGCCAUACCGCGUGGGUGAAGAAGGCCUUCGGGUUGUAAAGCCCUUUUGUCCGGAAGGAAAUGCAGCUGGUUAAUACCCGGCGGUUCUGACAGUACCGGAAGAAUAAGCACCGGCUAACUUCGUG